RNAcentral lists this ribosomal RNA (1628 nucleotides) under Monobothrioides tchadensis. RNAcentral describes it as "partial large subunit ribosomal RNA". It matches the Rfam family "Eukaryotic large subunit ribosomal RNA", at positions 44 to 961 of the family's 3401-position model. The record is from RNAcentral. Lineage: Eukaryota; Metazoa; Platyhelminthes; Cestoda; Caryophyllidea; Caryophyllidae.
CACUAAGCGGAGGAAAAGAAACUAACCAGGAUUCCCCUAGUAACGGCGAGUGAAGAGGGAAAAGCCCAGCACCGAAGCCUGUGGCAGUUUUGCUACUAGGCAAUGUGGUGUUUAGGUCGGCUCGCGGGAUCGCCACUCCACUCGAAGUCCAGCCUUGAUUAUGGUUGCCAGGAAUUGGCCCAGAGCGGGUGAUAGGCCCGUACGGGUGGAGGUGUCAGAUGAGUAAGGCGAUUCACCAGGCCGGCCUUAGAGUCGGGUUGUUUGCGAAUGCAGCCCAAAGUGGGUGGUAAACUCCAUCCAAGGCUAAAUACUAGCACGAGUCCGAUAGCGAACAAGUACCGUGAGGGAAAGUUGAAAAGUACUUUGAAGAGAGAGUAAACAGUACGUGAAACCGCAUAGAGGUAAACGGGUGGCGUCAAGCUGCAAGCCCAGAGAAUUCAGUCGGUCAGGGUGUUGUGUCUGCGCCCAGCGCAGCUAUCAGUCGGUGAUAAGGACUAGUCCGUCGGCAGAUGGCGGGCCCAGCUGUCACAGGUUGGGAUUUGCGUUCCGAGUGUUAGUCGGAGCAAGCUAGUCGUCCGUGGGACUGCCUGGCCGAUGCACUUUCUCUGUGGUGAACACCACGACCGGUGGAACUGCCAGUCUACCUUAGCCAGCUUCGUCGCCCGCUCGGGCCUUCUUGGGUCGCGGAGCGGGCAGCGAUCACAGGCAAUCUCAGUGCACGGUGCUUGCGGGUCUCCGCCCGUAGGCAUGUUAUCGGGAACUGGUUGUCAGCGGGUCGGCCCGGACACUGUACUGUAGUCGCAGUGUGCAUUCUGGGUGACUCGGUGGGCUAUGGCGGCAGGAGAAGCUGUGCAGGGCACCGGAGAUGUCGGUCUGUUUACGACGGUCGCGCACGCACUACAGCUUGGCGUGUGCCAUGCAGGGCACUGAUAGCGUUGCCAGGGCCUGCCAACGCCCGGGUCUGAUCAUCGUGUCGCCUGUCAAAAUGACGGGUCCGAUGGUGGUCUGGAGUUGGAUGGUGCCUGUGGGCAGCGUGGUCUUGCUGCGACCGUGCUUAGAGACCAGAUAGUCAGUGGUGUAGUGGUAGACGAGCUACCCGACCCGUCUUGAAACACGGACCAAGAAGUUCAACAUGCGCGCGAGUCAUGGGGUCCUACGAAACCCAAAGGCGCAAUGAAAGUGAAGCCUUGCCGUGCUCGUCUCUCUUCUUAUGUGGGGGCGGCCGGCCGGCAAGGUGUGGUGAGAUCCCGCUGUUUCUCGCAUGCACUUGUUUGUGACGAGGACCCGCAGCUGGGGCUAGCUCUAUGUGUGUGUGUUUGUUCUCUUGGACGGACACACACACACAUGAACAACUAGACGAGCAGUGGGCGCAUCACCGGCCCGUCCCAUGAUGUGGCUAUUGGUUUCAGCAGUGGUUGGGCAACUGACUGCCUGUCUGGCCGGUACGUCAUCGGGGCGGAGCAUGAGCGCGCAUGUUGAGACCCGAAAGAUGGUGAACUAUGCUUGCGUAGGUUGAAGCCAGAGGAAACUCUGGUGGAGGACCGCAGCGAUUCUGACGUGCAAAUCGAUCGUCAAACGUGAGCAUAGGGGCGAAAGACUAAUCGAACCAUCUAGUAGCUGGUUCCCUC